Molecule: ribosomal RNA, 476 nt
Filed under: uncultured bacterium
Lineage: Bacteria
Description: SSU rRNA
Rfam family: Bacterial small subunit ribosomal RNA
Source: RNAcentral
AGGACGAACGCUGGCGGCGUGCUUAACACAUGCAAGUCGAACGGAAAGGCCCGCUUGCGGGUACUCGAGUGGCGAACGGGUGAGUAACACGUGGGCAACCUGCCCUCAGCUUCGGGAUAACACUUGGAAACAGGUGCUAAUACCGGAUAAUAACCUUUCAUCGCAUGGUGUGGGGUUCAAAGUUUUUCGGCUGGGGAUGGGCCCGCGGCCUAUCAGCUUGUUGGUGGGGUAAUGGCCUACCAAGGCGACGACGGGUAGCCGGCCUGAGAGGGCGACCGGCCACACUGGGACUGAGACACGGCCCAGACUCCUACGGGAGGCAGCAGUGGGGAAUAUUGCGCAAUGGGCGGAAGCCUGACGCAGCGACGCCGCGUGAGGGAUGACGGCCUUCGGGUUGUAAACCUCUUUCAGCUCUGACGAAGCGCAAGUGACGGUAGGAGCAGAAGAGCACCGGCCAACUACGCGCCAGCAGCCGC